Long non-coding RNA from Carassius gibelio (silver crucian carp), 551 nucleotides. RefSeq lists it as uncharacterized. The record is from RefSeq and is a predicted model, not a curated record. Lineage: Eukaryota; Metazoa; Chordata; Actinopteri; Cypriniformes; Cyprinidae. The transcript is spliced from 2 exons.
UAUAUAUAUAUAUAUAUAUAUAUAUUAGGGGUGUAACGAUACGCGUAUUCGUAUUGAACCGUUCGGUACGACGCUUUCGGUUCGGUACGCGGUACGCAUUAUGUAUACCGAACGGUUCGUUGGAGUAAUUAAUUAUAUUUGAAAAAAAAAAAAAGAGAGAGAGAAAGAAAUAUAAUGAUAUGCGUUCAACAAGGUAGCCCAAUAACCCAAACAACGUAACAGGCAACGCCCCUGACACUCCCGAAGAAGAAAAAAACACCAUCUUAUAUGUUUAUGUUAGGCUACUCAGCAGGCGCUCGCUCACUCAGUACGCGCUGAAGGCUCGUUGCAAAAUAGCCAAUGCGUUUAACAGACUAGAAAUGAGAAGAUCCUCCAAUGACCAACAGGUCUGGUGUUUGGGUGCACUUUGGAUUCCCUUUAAGCUAUAAUGGUGAUGGCAAGAGAGUGGUGGAUAAAAAAAACAACGGUAUGUCGCAUCUGCAACAUGACAGGGUACACCAGCGGGAAUAAAAAAAAAAAAAAAAAAAACACCAGCGGGAAUAUCUGGGAUA